Non-coding RNA from Cinara cedri, 249 nucleotides. The record is from the annotation of a GenBank genome assembly. NCBI's taxonomy places the organism in Eukaryota, Metazoa, Arthropoda, Insecta, Hemiptera, Aphididae.
CGGUCUAUCAGUAUGGGGUAGCUAUUCUGAUAAUGCUAUUAAACCACUUAAAACUCAUCAAAACCUGGCUAUAAGGAUAUGUAUAAAGAAAAAUGAUUUAUAUGGCUCGACUUCAUUAAAUUAUAAAGAAUGUAAAGUUCUACCGGGUAGGUGUUUAUACAGACAGUUCUCCAUUAUAUUUACAAAUACGUAAAAUUACUUCUAAACUAGACCAUAAACGGAAAACUAGAGCUUAUGACACAAAACGCU